Molecule: transfer RNA, 94 nt
Filed under: Cyanobium sp.
Lineage: Bacteria; Bacillati; Cyanobacteriota; Cyanophyceae; Synechococcales; Prochlorococcaceae
Description: tRNA-Arg
Source: RNAcentral
GGCAGCUGGCGGAACGGCCCCUGUUCGCCACCUCCGUGGUGGCCCGCAGCCGGGUGCGCGGACGGCUGUAUGUGUUCGGCCCCCGCAGCGGUCU